UGUAAUCCUCACUCCCUUGUACAGAUAGGAAAAUGCUGGUUGAAUAAUCUAUUGAAGGGAAAUAGGAAGUUGAACAAUAUGUGGAGAAACAGGUUGCACGAUAGGUGGAGAAACAACAGGUUGCACGAUAUGUGGGGAACCAGGUUGAACAAUAGCCUCAAGUGCGCAGUAGGUAGGCUCGGCACUUGAGAAUAUUGGGCCCAGCCUGGGUUUCGACCCAGCCAGUCCAGCCCCAAGUGGAAGCUUUUGCACACUCCAUUACACCAGUUUUGGCUGUACUAGGAAGGAUGUAAAGUGGUGACACGCCCAAGAGAGAGCUGGGGCUAGACAGGAGCUGCUCCUAAAAGGAUGUCAAUGGACGUCUCUGUGCAAGAGAGUAAGCUGAGGCCUGCACAGUGAGAGGAACUAGCCAUGCAAAGAGCUGGGCGUGUCCAGCAGAGAAAACAGCAAGGGCAAAGGCCUUGAGGUGGGAGAGUAGAUGUGGGGUUUCAUGAACAUAAGGAUGGAACUCAGUGAGCAGUAGUAAGGAGACUGGAGAUGGUCAGCAGCUGGGGGUAGCAGGCUUUGCAGGUCUCGGCAAGGAGCUGGACUUUUAUUCUAGGUGUGAUGGGAAGUUGUGUUGUUAUGGCCACUGAAGGAGUUGCGUGGAUGGAGUUGGACCAGAGGGUGGGUGCCCUUCCUGCCUUGCCAGCCUUAGGUUCAAGGAGGAAGUUGAUUGCUUAGGCCUUAAGCUUGCCCCUCCUCAUCUGACCUCCUGGCUUCUAGGACAUUCCUGAGGACGUACACCAAGUCUCCAACAUUACCUGAUGUCAGAUCAGGUAAGCCCUCAUCUUAUAGAUAGGGCUAAGACUGAGGCCCUGACUUCAGGGAUGUGUCUUCACCUUUGAGUAGGAGAAGCAGGGGUGGUAUCUGCUUCAUCUACUCAUGUACCUGCAGCACCUAGCACAGGCUGACCAGCCCAUCCUUGGACCCAGGCAAGCGGGGCUCUGCCCUGGCCAGCCUCCAGCUGCGUACAUCCCCACAGGCUAGAGAGUCUGCAGUGCCAAGGGGAUAUACCCAUCCAAGUCUUUGCUCCUUGUCUAGAAUACUACAGAUUCCUAGGAUUCCUGAGCUCCCUACCUAAAAGUCCCAAGCCUGCUGCCAGGCCUCUUCCUGGUCUAUUGUCUGGAGGCAGAACACUAAGCCCAGGGUGUAGCCAAGGGGCACUGCAGAGGAUAGGGUGUGGAUGGAGAUUGGACCUGCAGCCUGGGAUGUCUACACACAUGCAGGUGAGGUGUGCACGGUACAGGAUGGAGCUGGGGAUGAGAAGGGAAGGUGGCAGUUUAUAGGCUGGGAAAUGAGCGACCAGGGAAUGGGGCUGGCUCUCCCCAGCACCGCCACAUUUCAGUGCGAGUAUCUAAGAAAUCCAAAUCAAUCCUGGCCUUUCAGGCUGCUGAGAAGUUAUACUUACUGAGGAGAAGGAUAGAACAUUUAAGAGAAGGUAUUGGUCUGAUUUAUAAUUUUUAAAUAUUUAGAUUUAAGGGUGAGUGGACACCAGCCUCCACCAAUAUCAAGAGUGUGUUUGGCCUAGACCCUAGGAGAUAUUCAAUAUUUAUCAAAUAGAUGGAUGAAUCUCAUUUAAUUUAAUCCUCACACAGACUCAACGGAGGGAAAUCACAUCGUCUGUGCUUUAUUGAUGAGGGAACUAAGGCUUGGAGAGAUUUAAUGACUGGCCUAUUUGUCAAGUUAGAAGUUUGUCUAGCAGAGCUGAGAGCCUCAAGCCCUAACGUGUCUGAUUCCAAAAUCCAUUGCAAUUGGUUCAUGACAAGUUCACUCCCAUUAUGACCACAUUAAAUAUAUUAUAACUGUUUGAGCAUGUCACUCGCUGAUCUUUGGGAACAUAAGCACUGUUUAUAUUACAUGAAAAAGGCCUUCUCUUCUUCAUUCUUACUCUACCCUCUCAGGCACCUUUGGGAAGUAGUAAGACAGGAGCUAAUGCUCCAUUUAACAAAUGGAAAACUGAGGACUGAGCAAUAGCCCAAGGUGUCAACGAGGCUUAAACAAAUAGGGAUUUUUUUUUUUUUUUUCAUGUAGCAAGAAAUCCGGAGGUAGCUGGGCAAGGGCUGGUAUAAUUUUUGCAUUAUUUUCAGCAAACAACUUCUGCCUCUUGGUCUCUUCUGGCUAUUUAUUGCUACAGCAUAACAAACUGCCCCCAAACAACAACCAUUGUAUCGUCUACAGUUUUGUGAGUCAGAAAUUUGCGCAGGGCUCAGCUGGGUGAUCCUUCAGUGAUCCAUGGAGCGCCGACUAGAGUCACUCAGUGAUCUUCAGCUGCUGAUUGUGCUAUGCUGGAGGAUCGAGAUGGUUUCACUCAGGUUCCUGGUGCUUUCGUGGGGAUGGCUGGAACACUGAGCUCAGCUGGGUCCGUCUGCCUCUCCAUGGAAUCCCAGGGCUUCUCCAGCCUUCCAGCCACACCGGCCGCCUUGCUGUUCAUCACAUUCACCAUUUCCCAUCCCUGGGCCUUCACGCUUGCUGUUUCCCUGUGACUGGACUGCUUUCCCCCAGGUUUCCAGUGAUCCAUCUCCUCACUUUCUUUGCCCCACUCCCUGCUGCGGUACCCCCCCACCCCAAGGGGCCCUCUAGGGUCAGGCCAUCUUCAACAGCAA
RNAcentral lists this long non-coding RNA (2645 nucleotides) under Homo sapiens (human). RNAcentral describes it as "HSALNT0263447". Lineage: Eukaryota; Metazoa; Chordata; Mammalia; Primates; Hominidae. The record is from RNAcentral.